CCUACGGGAGGCUGCAGUGGGGAAUAUUGGACAAUGGGGGCAACCCUGAUCCAGCCAUGCCGCGUGUGUGAAGAAGGCCCUCGGGUUGUAAAGCACUUUCAGUGAGGAAGAACGCCUGGUGGUUAAUACCCAUCAGGAAAGACAUCACUCACAGAAGAAGCACCGGCUAACUCCGUGCCAGCAGCCGCGGUAAUACGGAGGGUGCGAGCGUUAAUCGGAAUUACUGGGCGUAAAGCGCGCGUAGGUGGCUUGAUAAGCCGGUUGUGAAAGCCCCGGGCUCAACCUGGGAACGGCAUCCGGAACUGUCAAGCUAGAGUGCAGGAGAGGAAGGUAGAAUUCCCGGUGUAGCGGUGAAAUGCGUAGAGAUCGGGAGGAAUACCAGUGGCGAAUGCGGCCUUCUGGACUGACACUGACACUGAGGUGCGAAAGCGUGGGUAGCAAACAGGAUUAGAUACCCCUGUAGUC
Molecule: ribosomal RNA, 465 nt
Filed under: Vreelandella stevensii
Lineage: Bacteria; Pseudomonadati; Pseudomonadota; Gammaproteobacteria; Oceanospirillales; Halomonadaceae
Description: partial 16S ribosomal RNA
Rfam family: Bacterial small subunit ribosomal RNA
Source: RNAcentral